This 531-nucleotide ribosomal RNA is filed under the name Triticum aestivum (bread wheat). RNAcentral describes it as "partial small subunit ribosomal RNA". Lineage: Eukaryota; Viridiplantae; Streptophyta; Magnoliopsida; Poales; Poaceae. The record is from RNAcentral.
AUGGCCUCCAUCCCGUGCACCAUCCAGCUCGCGACCAAGGCGGCGUCCUCGUCUUCCGGGUGGAGGUCGCCGCGGGCGGUGGGGGGAGUGCUGAGGACCCCGCAGCUGGGCGGCGGCGCAGCGUGGCUGCGGCCGUCGCUGUUGAGCAAGGUGGCGCCGGCGAGGGAGAGCGGCAGAGUGAGGUUCUUCAAGUUCGGGAACAAGGACGCUGAGGGCGCCGGCAUCUACGGCAGCCAGGCGAGGGACGACUUCGACCGCGACGACGUCGAGCAGUACUUCAACUACAUGGGGAUGCUGGCGGUGGAGGGCACCUACGACAAGAUGGAGGCGCUGCUGAACCAGAGCAUCCACCCGGUGGACAUCCUGCUGAUUCUGGCCGCCUCCGAGGGCGACUUGCCCAAGAUCGAGGAGCUGCUCAAGGCCGGCGCCAAGUACGACGUCAAGGAUGCCGACGGGAGGACGGCGCUGGACCGGGCUAGCGGCGAGGUCAGGGAGUUCAUCACCGGCUUCGCCGUGGCCAAGAAGGCAUGA